Molecule: ribosomal RNA, 388 nt
Filed under: uncultured bacterium
Lineage: Bacteria
Description: bacterial SSU rRNA
Rfam family: Bacterial small subunit ribosomal RNA
Source: RNAcentral
GAUGAACGCUGGCGGCGUGCUUAACACAUGCAAGUCGAGCGGUAAGGCUCCUUCGGGAGUACACGAGCGGCGAACGGGUGAGUAACACGUGAGCAAUCUGCCCUUCACUUCGGGAUAACUCCGGGAAACCGGUGCUAAUACCGAAUACGACCACUUCACGCAUGUGAUGGUGGUGGAAAGUUCCGGCGGUGGAGGAUGAGCUCGCGGCCUAUCAGCUUGUUGGUGGGGUAAUGGCCUACCAAGGCAACGACGGGUAGCCGGCCUGAGAGGGUGACCGGCCACACUGGGACUGAGACACGGCCCAGACUCCUACGGGAGGCAGCAGUGGGGAAUAUUGGACAAUGGGCGAAAGCCUGAUCCAGCAACGCCGCGUGAGGGAUGACGGCCU